ACAACUAGCCUAAUAAACUACUAAAUUCACUAUCAUAUUAUAAUAUAAACUAAAUCAUUCACUGAUAAUAAGUAUAGGUGAUAGAAAAUUAAACAUAGCGCUAUAGAGAUAGUACCGUAAGGGAAUGAUGAAAGACACAUAAAAGUAAUAAAAAGCAAAGAUUAAUCCUUUUACCUUUUGCAUAAUGAACUAACCAGAAACACCCUGACAAAGAGAACUUUAGCCAGAAACCCCGAAAUCAGACGAGCUACCUUAGAACAGCCUACUACAGGGCCAACUCAUCUAUGUGGCAAAAUAGUGAGAAGAUUUUAAGGUAGAGGUGAAAAGCCUAACGAGCCUGAUGAUAGCUGGUUGUCCAGAAAAGAAUUUUAGUUCACCUUAAAACUUACCUUCACUACUAUCCAUAAAGUUACUGUAAGUUUUAAAGCUAACCUAAAGAGGUACAGCUCUUUAGAUAAAGGAUACAACCUAAAGUAAAGAGUAAUAAAUUAAAUAUUCAUAGUAGGCCCAAAAGCAGCCAUCAAUUAAGAAAGCGUUAAAGCUCAACACUAAAAUAUAACUUAUACCAAUAAUAUAACUCAACUCUUACUGAUCAAACUGGACCAAUCUAAUACUCAUUAGAUGUAACACUGUUAGUAUAAGUAAUAAGAAAAAUUUUCUCCCUGCACAAGUUUAUAUCAGAACGAAUAACUCACUGAUAGUUAACAACUAGACAUGCAUAAUCCAAUAACAAGAACUUAUGUCACCGUAUUUUUGUUAACCCAACACAGGAGUGCAAUCAAAGGAAAGAUUAACAAAUGUAAAAGGAACUCGGCAAA
RNAcentral lists this ribosomal RNA (818 nucleotides) under Dipodomys heermanni (Heermann's kangaroo rat). RNAcentral describes it as "partial 16S ribosomal RNA". The stretch from base 153 to 818 matches the Rfam family "Bacterial large subunit ribosomal RNA", at positions 568 to 1721 of the family's 2925-position model. Lineage: Eukaryota; Metazoa; Chordata; Mammalia; Rodentia; Heteromyidae. The record is from RNAcentral.